RNAcentral lists this ribosomal RNA (216 nucleotides) under Aggregatibacter actinomycetemcomitans. Its description in RNAcentral is "partial 16S ribosomal RNA". It matches the Rfam family "Bacterial small subunit ribosomal RNA", at positions 1 to 214 of the family's 1533-position model. The record is from RNAcentral. Lineage: Bacteria; Pseudomonadati; Pseudomonadota; Gammaproteobacteria; Pasteurellales; Pasteurellaceae.
UUGAAUUGAAGAGUUUGAUCAUGGCUCAGAUUGAACGCUGGCGGCAGGCUUAACACAUGCAAGUCGGACGGUAGCAGGAGAAAGCUUGCUUUCUUGCUGACGAGUGGCGGACGGGUGAGUAAUGCUUGGGGAUCUGUCUUAUGGAGGGGGAUAACGACGGGAAACUGUCGCUAAUACCGCGUAGAGUCGGGAGACGAAAGUGCGGGACCUUAGGGC